Molecule: long non-coding RNA, 226 nt
Filed under: Vigna radiata
Lineage: Eukaryota; Viridiplantae; Streptophyta; Magnoliopsida; Fabales; Fabaceae
Description: long non-coding RNA (VRAD_LNC017925)
Source: RNAcentral
GGGCACCCACGUCUAUAAUAUUAUAGACAUCAGGGCCCCUCCAACCGAUGUCUAUAUGUCUAACAGUUAGACGAAAAGUCAUUUUUUUUUUACACCUAGACGUCUGAUCCCGCCACCUCGACGUCUAUAUGCGAUUAUAGGCGUCGGCUCCCCUUACAACUGACGUCUAUAUAUACCACAAAUAUUAAUUUUUAAAUUGAAUGGACGACACAUUAGUGAGGUCCCC